GAUGAACGCUGGCGGCGUGCCUAAUACAUGCAAGUCGAGCGAACAGACGAGGAGCUUGCUCCUCUGACGUUAGCGGCGGACGGGUGAGUAACACGUGGAUAACCUACCUAUAAGACUGGGAUAACUUCGGGAAACCGGAGCUAAUACCGGAUAAUAUAUUGAACCGCAUGGUUCAAUAGUGAAAGACGGUUUUGCUGUCACUUAUAGAUGGAUCCGCGCCGCAUUAGCUAGUUGGUAAGGUAACGGCUUACCAAGGCAACGAUGCGUAGCCGACCUGAGAGGGCGAUCGGCCACACUGGAACUGAGACACGGUCCAGACUCCUACGGGAGGCAGCAGUAGGGAAUCUUCCGCAAUGGGCGAAAGCCUGACGGAGCACCGCCGCGUGAGUGAUGAAGGUCUUCGGAUCGUAAAACUCUGUUAUUAGGGAAGAACAAAUGUGUAAGUAACUAUGCACGUCUUGACGGUACCUAAUCAGAAAGCCACGGCUAACUACGUG
Molecule: ribosomal RNA, 497 nt
Filed under: uncultured bacterium
Lineage: Bacteria
Description: partial 16S ribosomal RNA
Rfam family: Bacterial small subunit ribosomal RNA
Source: RNAcentral